UAUCAGGUUAUGGUCUCACAUCCACUUGAGUAGCAGUAACUGAAUAAUUGAAUGUUCCCCUUGAACCAAAUAGUUUGCUCCUGGAAUUACAGGUGGGUUGGUUCUUCAUGCUUCUGACACUGCAUUGCUUUUUUUGUGGCAGCUACUUCUUGCCUUCUUGCACAGCCAUAUCUGUCAAUACCACAUGGAAGCACACAGCCCGUAGUGUUGAGGAGCUUUGCCUGCAAAAUUCCUGCUUUUGUUUUGAGACUGCUCCUAUGAGAUACUCCCUUCAAUGGCACCUUAAUGGUUACACAGGGCACUGAGGAAGGCUCAAACCUUCAUAACUACAGUACAGCUCCCUCCAUCCAGGUACACUGGGCGUUUGGCAUUCAUACGAAGUUUCUUUGGCAGGCACUGCUUACCAUUUCCUCAUAUUAACAUCUAUCACAAAGAAAUCUCAUCUUCGGGCUCCAGCAGCCUAAUGGCUUCCUUCAGCAUCUGAAUACAUCAACAGCUGUGGCUUCAGCCAUUUUGUCUGACCAAACUGAGAGCGGCCCAAAACCUGCUUCUGCACCAGGAGGGGAUAAAGGAGCCUCUUCUUCUGCAGAGAAGGCUUCCCACAAAACAUACAGAAUUGCAAACAUAAUUCUUCCUUCUCUCCACAGUCCUGAUCGCAGCAAUCUGAAGGCAGAAUGUUUACUCAAAAGGGAGUAUGUCUUUAAACAUCACAAGGCGUGCUUACAGCACUGUGCUGCACAGACAUUGUGUAUCAGAGUACGUGUCUGUGCCACAGAUGAGGCGAUGAUGUCAGCUGAAAAUGCCCUUGUGCCCAGCUGGCAGCAGUGCUGGUGUGCAGCCCUGCUGUGCUGUCACUGUGCUGCUGAGAGCUGCUGCUGCUGGGAAGGGCCAUUCUGUGACACUGCACUUCUGUCUCCUGCUUUCAUGCUAUUUCAGUGCUCUCUGUCUUUGCUCAUGCUGUUCAGCGUGCAGACCUAGCAGAAAGCCUUGAAGGCAGUAAAUUGUCAGAGCAGUCUGGACUUGCAAUGAGCUAUUUUAUGACCAAGUACAGAAAUUCUUCACUUCUUAUUUCAUUCAAAAGUUGUGUGAUUUGAGCAUGAUUGUCCUGGGCUUUUUGUUUCUUUCUUUGUUUUUUUUCCCCCCUCUUUUAAUGCAAGUGAGGAAAAGCCUCACCCUGCAGGCAUGAAAACAGCAUUCUCCAUAGUGAGGACUCUUAGGAGCCUUUUGGAGAAAGGGGUCUGGAGUUAUCUGUGUGUUUACAUCUUCUGCAUUGAUUUCUCUAAGCUGACAGUGCAGUGGGCAGUGCAUCAAUAUGCAGUCUGUGGUGAGAGAGACCAAGGCAUUGCAGGGCAUGCACACUUGUCUGUUGCCUCAUGCCAGAGCUCAGUGCCAUGCCUCUUCUCAGCAUCAAACAUAGGAUCAUCACUGACAUCAGUGACAGCGCAGCCUUUUUGUGAGCGCUGUGCAGCCUCUGCAGUUUAUAAAUAGCAUUCCCAAGGGACAGCUGCAGAAUGACCCAGAUUGACCAAAAUACACCGUGUUUAGAAAAUUCCAUGCUAAAACAGCCCUUCCCCUGACGGGUACACAUCCUUGACUCUAUUUCUGCUCCAACGCUCAUCGGCAUUUCAGCCAGGAGGAAAAGCAGCUCCUCUUGGGCUGUCACGACAGUGAGGUGACAGAGGCAAAGAAAAGAAGUUUGGCUUUCUGUGUUGUCAAGUAAAAGGUUCUCCAGUUUGCAUUUCAGUCGGGACCGUGGACUGAGAUUUUGUCUCCUUU
RNAcentral lists this long non-coding RNA (1776 nucleotides) under Gallus gallus (chicken). RNAcentral describes it as "long non-coding RNA NONGGAT006597". The record is from RNAcentral. Lineage: Eukaryota; Metazoa; Chordata; Aves; Galliformes; Phasianidae.